RNAcentral lists this ribosomal RNA (612 nucleotides) under Lysinibacillus sphaericus. Its description in RNAcentral is "bacterial SSU rRNA". It matches the Rfam family "Bacterial small subunit ribosomal RNA", at positions 48 to 643 of the family's 1533-position model. Lineage: Bacteria; Bacillati; Bacillota; Bacilli; Caryophanales; Bacillaceae. The record is from RNAcentral.
GCUAUACUGCAGUCGAGCGAACAGAGAAGGAGCUUGCUCCUUUGACGUUAGCGGCGGACGGGUGAGUAACACGUGGGCAACCUACCUUAUAGUUUGGGAUAACUCCGGGAAACCGGGGCUAAUACCGAAUAAUCUAUUUCACUUCAUGGUGAAAUACUGAAAGACGGUUUCGGCUGUCGCUAUAAGAUGGGCCCGCGGCGCAUUAGCUAGUUGGUGAGGUAACGGCUCACCAAGGCGACGAUGCGUAGCCGACCUGAGAGGGUGAUCGGCCACACUGGGACUGAGACACGGCCCAGACUCCUACGGGAGGCAGCAGUAGGGAAUCUUCCACAAUGGGCGAAAGCCUGAUGGAGCAACGCCGCGUGAGUGAAGAAGGUUUUCGGAUCGUAAAACUCUGUUGUAAGGGAAGAACAAGUACAGUAGUAACUGGCUGUACCUUGACGGUACCUUAUUAGAAAGCCACGGCUAACUACGUGCCAGCAGCCGCGGUAAUACGUAGGUGGCAAGCGUUGUCCGGAAUUAUUGGGCGUAAAGCGCGCGCAGGCGGUCCUUUAAGUCUGAUGUGAAAGCCCACGGCUCAACCGUGGAGGGUCAUUGGAAACUGGGGGACUU